This 745-nucleotide ribosomal RNA is filed under the name uncultured bacterium. RNAcentral describes it as "bacterial SSU rRNA". It matches the Rfam family "Bacterial small subunit ribosomal RNA", at positions 64 to 840 of the family's 1533-position model. The record is from RNAcentral.
GCACGAGAAAGGGUAGCAAUACCUGAGUACAGUGGCGCACGGGUGAGUAACACGUGAAUUAUCUACCUCCGAGUGGGGAAUAACUGAGAGAAAUCUUAGCUAAUACCGCAUAACACUUACGAGUCAAAGCAGCAAUGCGCUUGGAGAGGAGUUCGCGGCCGAUUAGUUAGUUGGCGGGGUAAUGGCCCACCAAGACGAUGAUCGGUAUCCGGCCUGAGAGGGCGCACGGACACACUGGAACUGAAACACGGUCCAGACUCCUACGGGAGGCAGCAGUGGGGAAUUUUGCGCAAUGGGGGAAACCCUGACGCAGCAACGCCGCGUGGAGGAUGAAAUAUCUUGGUAUGUAAACUCCUUUCGAUGGGGAAGAUUAUGACGGUACCCAUAGAAGAAGCCCCGGCUAACUUCGUGCCAGCAGCCGCGGUAAUACGAGGGGGGCAAGCGUUGUUCGGAUUUAUUGGGCGUAAAGGGUGCGUAGGCGGUUUGGCAAGUCUGAUGUGAAAUCUAUGGGCUCAACCCAUAGUCUGCAUCAGAAACUGCCGGGCUUGAGUAUGGGAGAGGUGAGUGGAAUUUCCGGUGUAGCGGUGAAAUGCGUAGAUAUCGGAAGGAACACCUGUGGCGAAAGCGGCUCACUGGACCAUAACUGACGCUGAUGCACGAAAGCUAGGGGAGCAAACAGGAUUAGAUACCCUGGUAGUCCUAGCCCUAAACGAUGAUUGUUUGAUGUGGCAGGUACCCAAUCCUG